AUGCUCACUUCAGCAGCACAUAUACUAAAAUUGGAAUGAUACAGAGAAAAUUAGCAUGGACCCUGCACAAGGAUGACAUGCAAAUUCAUGAAGUAUUCCAUAUUUUU
RNAcentral lists this small nuclear RNA (107 nucleotides) under Salvator merianae (Argentine black and white tegu). Lineage: Eukaryota; Metazoa; Chordata; Lepidosauria; Squamata; Teiidae. The record is from RNAcentral.